GGGGAAGAAGAGAGAGAGGAAGGGAGAAGAAGAGAGAAGAAGGAAGAGGGCGCCGCCGCAGUGGCCGGUGGCGCAGUGGCCUCUGAAGGUGGCGAGGUCAUGUAAUGAACAGUAUAGAUUAAUGGAGAGAAGAUGAAUCAUCUGAUUUUUCGAUCCAUUUUUGAUACGAUGAGUGGGAGGAGAAUAUGAAGAAGAGUUGAUCCAUUUCUGGGCUACAUCGGAAUUGAUUUUAAGAAAGAAAAAAAAA
This is a non-coding RNA of Camellia sinensis, 247 nucleotides long. Lineage: Eukaryota; Viridiplantae; Streptophyta; Magnoliopsida; Ericales; Theaceae. The record is from RefSeq and is a predicted model, not a curated record.